UACAAACAAGCCUCGUUUUGAAGAACACGCCAACAACAACACACAUUUGAUAAGGACAAAGAGACGAAACAACGAAGAAAUAGUUGUUUAGAAACAUGUCAAGAGGAAAUGACUCUCGAAUUUACGUAGGGAAUCUUCCACCUGACAUAAGAGCUAGAGACAUCGAAGAUUUAUUUUACAAAUUUGGGAGAAUUACAUUUGUUGACUUGAAAACAAGACGUGGACCGCCAUUUUGUUUUGUAGAAUUUGAGGACCCUAGAGAUGCAUCAGACGCUGUCCACGAGAGAGAUGGUUACAACUACGACGGAUAUACACUGAGGGUUGAGUUUCCACGAGGUGGAGGACCAGGUGGGCCAAGAUCAGGUGGAGGUGGUGGUGGCUACGGUUUCCGUGGGGGCAGUAGGGGCCUGUCUGGUGGACGAGGAGGUCCACCAUCAAGAAGAUCUGAAUACAGAGUGCUUGUAUCUGGAUUACCACCAUCUGGGAGCUGGCAGGAUUUGAAAGAUCACAUGAGGGAAGCUGGAGAUGUAUGUUAUGCAGAUGUGUACAAAGAUGGAACUGGAGUUGUUGAAUUUCUUAGGAAAGAGGACAUGAAAUAUGCUGUUCGCAAACUAGAUGAUUCCAAGUUUAGGUCUCAUGAGGGAGAAGUGUCUUACAUCCGUGUGAAAGAAGAUUACAGAGGAGGUGGAGGAAGGUCAAGGUCCCGCAGCAGAAGUAUCACACCCCCAAGACGGUCACGGGCGUCCCCAAGAUAUUCACCAGUCAGGAAUAGAUCACGAUCAUAAAAUAAAUUGUGAAGAGUGAUGCAAAAAUUCAGAAGAAACGAAAAUGGCCAAGCAGUUAAAUCAUAUCUUGGAUGACUGUUUAUGGUUUUUGCUCUGUGGGAAAGUUUGGAUCAUUAUGAUGUCAAGCUUGGAUAUUUAGGAUAACAAGCUUGGAUGAAUUGGAUUUAUCAUGUUUGGAUAAUAGGAUGCAAACAUGGAUAAUUAGGAUAACUAUCUUGGAUCUUUGGGAUCAAGGGAUCAGGAUUUGGAAAAAAAAUUUCAGUCCCCUCUCAGUUUAAGGAAUCUCUGGAUGGAUCCUUAGAAUCUAACUGGAAUUAUUUUGGAAUUCGGGAAUCCAUCUAUUAGGCAAAAAUAAUCAUCAGGUUUAAGAUUUGAAAUCCGUAGAUAUCAAAGGUUUGGCGGUAAACAAUAUUGCUUCACUAUGCAAUAAACAGACCAUGCACAAAUGGCCAUAUUUAAUGCAAAUAUUGAAGCAUUAUUGUUUACAGUCACUUCAUUACUGAAUACACAUCAUUUAUGGAAGGAGUGUUCUCAACCCCUCAGCACAGGAUGAUUCUGCGCUGGGAUUUAGUUUCUCACUAUUCUUCUGUUCUGUUAAAAUGGAUCACAGGUUCUGGAAAGGAGGAAAGGAACAGGAACAGAUCAAUUCAAGCUACAUCUGAAGUAGGAGGAUGGAAGGAAAUUGUGUCCUAUGAAAAAUUAUAGUUAAAGUUUAUUUUUAAAAAAAAAAGUUAUCUUUUUUUGAAUUCCGAUAAAGAAAUCAUUGGCAAAAAAUUUGCAAAGCAUUUCUAAAGUUCAAUUCAUGUACAACUUGAUGUCUUUGGAGUGUCGGCAGUACGUUAUGAGUUUGCGGUUAAAGUUGGACUUUGCGUUUACUUUUCUCGGAGUCUAGGAUGUUUGUCUUGAAAUUCUGAGGAGGAUUCUAGUUGGAGUUACCCUUAGAUAGGGAUUUGGUAAGUGGUGGAAGUUUUUGAUCAAUGGCCGAUUUUAAGGGUUGGUCCAUUAAUGGGGGUGGGUCAAGAGAAAAAAUUAAGGAAAGUGUUCAUUUUCUUCAGCAUCCUAUAGUAAUUUCCUUUACGCAACAUGAGACUUUAUUAAAAAAAGAAAAUGUGUGCAUUAAGGUUUUUUUUCUCUAUAUUUAUUAACCAUGCUUUUUUUACAGCAUAAUCAAUAAAAAAUCUUCAAAAAUUA
Magallana angulata is the source of this 1976-nucleotide RNA transcript. It is a transcript of the gene named serine/arginine-rich splicing factor 1-like, with no coding region annotated. NCBI's taxonomy places the organism in Eukaryota, Metazoa, Mollusca, Bivalvia, Ostreida, Ostreidae. The transcript has 6 exons. The record is from RefSeq and is a predicted model, not a curated record.